Long non-coding RNA from Gigantopelta aegis, 856 nucleotides. RefSeq lists it as uncharacterized. The record is from RefSeq and is a predicted model, not a curated record. NCBI's taxonomy places the organism in Eukaryota, Metazoa, Mollusca, Gastropoda, Neomphalida, Peltospiridae. The transcript has 3 exons.
UAAUAAUAUCAAUAUUCUUAAAUGUCGGCCCUUGUUCGACUGUUAAUAAAUAUGUGAACAAGUAAACAAUGAACGAGUUGCAGCGAAUUGACAGGUGACUCCAAGCUAUCUUACAGCCGCGGACAAGAAACCGUGACGAUGAAGACAAGUACGUGUCUGCUUGUCCUUCUCACUGUUACAUUCAUAUUAACCGUACAAGGUAAACCAGACUGCUAUUCGCCCCCUGACGUGGGCUACAAGUGUACACGCCUACGCGGAAUUCAACGAUUUAUUCAUCGUCCGAAAACCAAAAGUUACUACAAUCCAAGAACUAAAAAAUGCAUAAAAUUCAGAUACCGAGGAUGUGGAGGAAAUCGCAACAGAUAUUCCAGUUUUAGUUGCUACUUCUUUUGCAAAAUACUGCAUGGAUGAUGGAUCAGGAGCUUUCUAAUAUUAAUGACCCCAAAAAAAAAAGAUAAAAAAAAGAGAGUAAAGAGUCACACUACAAUAUUUAAAUGAAAUACCGCUUAACAUGGUGGUAUCCUCCUGGUAACCUGAACAAUCGAUCUCAACUUAUUUCGAUGCCUGAGUCACUGGUAAAUUUAACAAUACAACAUAAUAUUAUGAACAACAAUGGUGCACUUUUUAUGGAAGUUAUGAUGAGCUUUAUAUUGAAGAUCAUCUCAGUGAACUUCUUGUGUGUAAAAUGUUCAUAGUAAUAAUAAAAAGUAUGUAAUGUCUGUUUGCACUAAAUAUGUAAUGUCUGUUUGCAAUAAAGAUUUAUAGAAAACUGAUCAGUUAACAAUAUGAAGAAUAGUGCUAUUUUGUGCAUUCAUGUUACACUGGGAAUGGAAUAAUAAAAUAUUUGCAGAUUUGU